GAUCGAAGAAGAAAAGAGAUCGUGAGGGAGGGAUCUCUGGUAAAAGCUAUCAGCUGCGCUCAAUUUUUCCCAUACGUCUUUCUAUUUUCUCUGUGUAUAUGUGUGUAUAUUGUAUGUAUAGGAGUGUGUUUUUGUGAUGAAGCAGCCGCCAGCUGCGCAGCCCCUUUCUCCCAGCGUCUAUAUGUGUGUCUCUCUGUAGUGUAUUCUCCUCAAGAAGCUCAACUCCCUUCUCGUGUAUAUGUGUUGUGUUUUCUCCCUCUUCUCUAUCGUGUGUAUAUACUUCUAUAUGAUAAUGUGUAUUGCGUGUGUUUGUUAAGAGGACCCCCUCUUCUCUGUCGUGUGUAUAUGCUUCUAUAUGGUAAUGUGUAUUGCGUGUGUUUGUUAAGAGGAAGCCAAGGUUGCGCUUCAGGCCUC
RNAcentral lists this long non-coding RNA (414 nucleotides) under Nicotiana benthamiana. Its description in RNAcentral is "long non-coding RNA (NBEN_LNC026009)". Lineage: Eukaryota; Viridiplantae; Streptophyta; Magnoliopsida; Solanales; Solanaceae. The record is from RNAcentral.